UACGUAGGGUGCGAGCGUUAAUCGGAUUUACUGGGCGUAAAGCGUGCGCAGGCGGCCCGUUAAGACAGGUGUGAAAUCCCUGGGCUCAACCUAGGAAUUGCGCUUGUGAAUGGCGGGCUCGAGUACGGUAGAGGGGGGUGGAAUUCCUGGUGUAGCAGUGAAAUGCGUAGAGAUCAGGAGGAACACCGAUGGCGAAGGCAGCCCCCUGGGCCUGUACUGACGCUCAUGCACGAAAGCGUGGGGAGCAAACAGG
Molecule: ribosomal RNA, 253 nt
Filed under: uncultured microorganism
Description: partial 16S ribosomal RNA
Rfam family: Bacterial small subunit ribosomal RNA
Source: RNAcentral